This 632-nucleotide ribosomal RNA is filed under the name uncultured marine eukaryote. RNAcentral's name for it is "SSU rRNA". It matches the Rfam family "Eukaryotic small subunit ribosomal RNA", at positions 616 to 1248 of the family's 1831-position model. The record is from RNAcentral.
UGGUUAAAAAGCUCGUAGUUGGAUCUCAACAGCCUUGGAAGCGGUUAACUUUGUAGUUUUACUGCUUUAUAGGCUGUGCUUUUGCUGGAGGUUUAGGGGUGCUCUUGAUCGAGUGUCUCUGGAUGCCAGCAGGUUUACUUUGAAAAAAUUAGAGUGCUCAAAGCAGGCUAAAAUGCCUGAAUAUUCGUGCAUGGAAUAAUAGAAUAGGAUGUCGAUCCUAUUUUGUUGGUUUUCGGGACUCGACAUAAUGAUAAAUAGGGACAGUCGGGGGCAUUUGUAUUCAAACGACAGAGGUGAAAUUCUUGGACCGUUUGAAGACAAACUACUGCGAAAGCAUUUGCCAAGAAUGUUUUCAUUAAUCAAGAACGAAAGUUAGAGGUUCGAAGGCGAUUAGAUACCGCCCUAGUUCUAACCAUAAACGAUGCCAGCUAGCGAUCUGCCUGCGUUUUUACUGUAGACUGGGCAGGAAGCUUCCGGGAAACCAAAGCAUUUGGGUUCCAGGGGAAGUAUGGUUGCAAAGCUGAAACUUAAAGGAAUUGACGGAAGGGCACCACCAGGAGUGGAGCCUGUGGCUUAAUUUGACUCAACACGGGAAAUCUCACCAGGCCCGGACACUGGAAGGAUUGACAGAU